RNAcentral lists this ribosomal RNA (414 nucleotides) under uncultured microorganism. RNAcentral's name for it is "bacterial SSU rRNA". It matches the Rfam family "Archaeal small subunit ribosomal RNA", at positions 459 to 872 of the family's 1478-position model. The record is from RNAcentral.
CAGCCGCCGCGGUAAUACCGGCGGCCCGAGUGGCGGCCACUAUUAUUGGGCUUAAAGCGUCCGUAGCCGGGUUGGUUAGUCUCCCGGGAAAUCUGGCCGCUUAACGGUCAGAAUUCCGGGAGAUACUGCCAGCCUAGGGACCGGGAGAGGCCGAGGGUAUUCCCGGAGUAGGGGUGAAAUCCUAUAAUCCCGGGAGGACCACCUGUGGCGAAGGCGCUCGGCUGGAACGGGUCCGACGGUGAGGGACGAAGGCCAGGGGAGCGAACCGGAUUAGAUACCCGGGUAGUCCUGGCGGUAAACGAUGCGGACUAGGUGUCGGGCAAGCUAAGGGCUUGUCCGGUGCCGCAGGGAAGCCGUUAAGUCCGCCGCCUGGGGAGUACGGCCGCAAGGCUGAAACUUAAAGGAAUUGGCGGG